Molecule: unclassified non-coding RNA, 341 nt
Filed under: soil metagenome
Description: partial contains 5.8S ribosomal RNA, internal transcribed spacer 2, and large subunit ribosomal RNA
Rfam family: 5.8S ribosomal RNA (bases 1-120)
Source: RNAcentral
GAUGAAGAACGUAGCGAAAUGCGAUAAGUAGUGUGAAUUGCAGAAUUCAGUGAAUCAUCGAAUCUUUGAGCGCACAUUGCGCCCUUUGGUAUUCCAAAGGGCAUGCCUGUUCGAGCGUCAUUUGUACCCUCAAGCUUUGCUUGGUGUUGGGCGUCUUGUCUCUAGCUUUGCUGGAGACUCGCCUUAAAGUAAUUGGCAGCCGGCCUACUGGUUUCGGAGCGCAGCACAAGUCGCACUCUCUAUCAGCAAAGGUCUAGCAUCCAUUAAGCCUUUUUUUCAACUUUUGACCUCGGAUCAGGUAGGGAUACCCGCUGAACUUAAGCAUAUCAAUAAGCGGAGGA